AGAGUUUGAUCAUGGCUCAGGAUGAACGCUAGCGGGAGGCCUAACACAUGCAAGCCGAGCGGUAUUGUUUCUUCGGAAAUGAGAGAGCGGCGUACGGGUGCGGAACACGUGUGCAACCUGCCUUUAUCUGGGGGAUAGCCUUUCGAAAGGAAGAUUAAUACUCCAUAAUAUAUUGAUUGGCAUCAAUUAAUAUUGAAAGCUCCGGCGGAUAGAGAUGGGCACGCGCAAGAUUAGCUAGUUGGUGAGGUAACGGCUCACCAAGGCGAUGAUCUUUAGGGGGCCUGAGAGGGUGAUCCCCCACACUGGUACUGAGACACGGACCAGACUCCUACGGGAGGCAGCGGUGAGGAAUAUUGGUCAAUGGGUGCAAGCCUGAACCAGCCAUCCCGCGUGAAGGACGACUGCCCUAUGGGUUGUAAACUUCUUUUGUAUAGGGAUAAACCUACCCUCGUGAGGGUAGCUGAAGGUACUAUACGAAUAAGCACCGGCUAACUCCGUG
RNAcentral lists this ribosomal RNA (499 nucleotides) under uncultured bacterium. Its description in RNAcentral is "bacterial SSU rRNA". It matches the Rfam family "Bacterial small subunit ribosomal RNA", at positions 8 to 507 of the family's 1533-position model. The record is from RNAcentral.